This 26-nucleotide non-coding RNA is filed under the name Mus musculus (house mouse). Lineage: Eukaryota; Metazoa; Chordata; Mammalia; Rodentia; Muridae. The record is from RNAcentral.
UGAAAAUGGACAUGGUGAACUACACC